UUUGAUCCUGGCUCAGAUUGAACGCUGGCGGCAGGCCUAACACAUGCAAGUCGAGCGGAAACGAGUUAUCUGAACCUUCGGGGAACGAUAACGGCGUCGAGCGGCGGACGGGUGAGUAAUGCCUAGGAAAUUGCCUUGAUGUGGGGGAUAACCAUUGGAAACGAUGGCUAAUACCGCAUAAUGCCUACGGGCCAAAGAGGGGGACCUUAGGGCCUCUCGCGUCAAGAUAUGCCUAGGUGGGAUUAGCUAGUUGGUGAGGUAAUGGCUCACCAAGGCGACGAUCCCUAGCUGGUCUGAGAGGAUGAUCAGCCACACUGGAACUGAGACACGGUCCAGACUCCUACGGGAGGCAGCAGUGGGGAAUAUUGCACAAUGGGCGAAAGCCUGAUGCAGCCAUGCCGCGUGUAUGAAGAAGGCCUUCGGGUUGUAAAGUACUUUCAGUUGUGAGGAAGGGGGUGUCGUUAAUAGC
This 469-nucleotide ribosomal RNA is filed under the name LMWdDNA-degrading marine bacterium 30. Its description in RNAcentral is "bacterial SSU rRNA". It matches the Rfam family "Bacterial small subunit ribosomal RNA", at positions 12 to 467 of the family's 1533-position model. The record is from RNAcentral.